This 329-nucleotide unclassified non-coding RNA is filed under the name soil metagenome. RNAcentral's name for it is "partial contains 5.8S ribosomal RNA, internal transcribed spacer 2, and large subunit ribosomal RNA". The stretch from base 1 to 120 matches the Rfam family "5.8S ribosomal RNA", at positions 35 to 154 of the family's 154-position model. The record is from RNAcentral.
GAUGAAGAACGUAGCGAAAUGGGAUAAGUAGUGUGAAUUGCAGAAUUCAGUGAAUCAUCGAAUCUUUGAACGCACAUUGCGCCCCUUGGUAUCCCGAGGGGCAUGCCUGUUCGAGCGUCAUUUCACCACUCAAGCCUGGCUUGGUGUUGGGCGACGUCCUCUUUGGGGACGCGCCUCGAAACGCUCGGCGGCGUGGCACCGGCUUUAAGCGUAGCAGAAUCUUUCGCUUUGGAAGUCGGGGCCCCGUCUGCCGGAAGACCUGCUCGCAAGGUUGACCUCGGAUCAGGGAGGGAUACCCGCUGAACUUAAGCAUAUCAAUAAGCGGAGGA